UUUGAGAGAAGGUUGAAAAGGAGCCAGUACGGGGAAGCAAAGUGGUUGCCACAAUGUGGGCCAGAACCCGAGUUUUGAAACUGACAUCACUGGGACCUAGUUGGUUUGGAAGGGAUUCAGAGGGACACUCAGCAAUACACUAUUUGGCUUGGUCAAAAGUAAUUUCGAAGUCAUCAGGCCAGAUGUUUUUAAACAAAGUAGGAAAACCAGAACAACGACACUGAAAAAGUGAGUCAAACAGGGCACAAUCAAGAAUAAUGCGCUUACCUAGCACUAGAGAUUCCAACCUAUCAGGUUUACUAGAACGAAAAUUUGCAUAAAACAUUUUGACCAGGAGUUUAUAUACCUUAGGCGGAGGAAUAGAGAAGAACUUUUCCCACCCUUGAUAAGAGAAAAGUUCUUUGACCUUACAGUUAAGGGCUUCUAUGUCAUCAAGAUCGACAACUCGUCCAUGAGCAAUGGACUUGUCUUUUAGAGCAAUAAAAAGAACCCUAUUUGGGGAAUCCCAGAAAUUUAGGUUAGAUUCAAGAGAGGUAUAGAAAUCAACCUUUGAUUUCUUUGGAGUGGACGAAAUAGUGGGUUCUUCCAUGGGUCGCUUGCCUAAAGCCUUUUCUCCUAGAAGUUGUGAGUAUUCAGAAAAAUCUCCUUGAGAUGAGGCGAAGCCUUCAGAGUGAUCAGACCCUAGGUCUACUUGUUCAGGGGGCACAAAAGGGGUUUUUGCUUUGGAACGGGUGCUCUUUCUAGUGGAAGCAGAGGGAUUUUUGGAGUGUUUCGCCAUUGUAGAGAAGAAGCUUUGAUUGAAACUUUUGGAGAAGAGAUGGAGAUGAGAGUGAUUGAAUGGGUUUUCUGUCUUAAGAAGAGAGUUUUGACGGUUGAGUACAGGAAAGAAAAAGGAUGAUUGGCUUUCCAUCUUCGAACUGCGAACUGAUGUGAAAGAAGUGAAAAGAGAGGGAAAAAACGGAGGCGUAAUUAAAGCAUGGGAAAAGGACAACUAUAGCAAAUAAAAUUAAUUGAGCACAUAGGUCCUAAGAGUUAUUAGAAGUGCAAAUAAUACCAAGUAAAUUUCUUAAAGUAUAAAAUCUCUCUUCUAAUAAAGGCUUAGUAAAAAUAUCAGCUAGUUGAGCAGAAGUUCCAACAAAAGAUAUUUCUAUGUCUCUCUUAAGAACAUGAUCUCUAAUGAAAUGAUGCUUAAUAUCUAUAUGCUUUGCUCUAGAAUGAUGCACAUGAUUUUUCGAAAGACAAAUAGCACUAGAAUUGUCACAAAAAAUUUGUAUAGGCUUAAACGAAAGUUCAUAGUCACCCAAUUGAUGAGGCAUCCAUAGUAGUUGUGCGCAACAUUCUUCAAUAGCAAUGUAUUCAGCUUUCGUAGUGGACAAUGCGACGGAUGCUUGCUUUUUACUAUUCCAGGAUAUUAAUGCCUUUCCUAGUAAUUGACAUGUACUGCUUGUGAUUUUUCUAUCCUCUUUAUCACCUGCAAGGUCAGCAUCUGAAAAACCUUCUAAUUUAAAAGAGUUAGAGCGAGGAUACCAUAAUCCAUGAGAUACAGUUCCAAUGAGAUAUCGAAUGAUUCUCUUUACAACAGUCAAAUGUGACUCCUUGGGAGCUGACUGAAACUUGGCACAUUUACAUACACUGAACAUGAUGUCUGGUUGACUUUCUAUCAGAUACAGUAGUGAUCCAAUAAUUCCAAGAUAUUUGUUUUCAUCAACAGGAAUGCCCUAUUCAUCUUUGUCUAGAUUCGUAGAGGGGCUCAUUGGAGUGCCAAUUGAUUUUGCAUUGCUCAUACCAAGUUUUUGAAUCAGCUCUUUUGUGUAUUUGGUCUGACAUAUGAAGGUUCCUUCUUCAAAUUGUUGAAUUUGUUGCCCAAGGAAGAAUGUGAGCUCACCCAUCAUACUCAUUUCAAAUUCGCUUUGCAUAAGAUUUGAAAAUUCCUUGUACAUAAAAGGGUUAGCACUACCAAAUAUAAUGUCAUCAACAUAAAUUUGAAUAAUGAGGUUACCUUCUGAUGAUCGUUUAAUAAACAGGGUAGUAUCAAUUUUACCUCUUAUAAAGCCGUGAUCAACAAGAAAGGUACUUAGCCUAUCAUACCAGGCACAUGGAGCUUAUUUCAAUCCAUACAGUGCUUUAGUGAGCUUGUAUACAUGUUAUGGGAAUUUUGAAUCUUCAAAGCCUAGAGGUUGUUUCACAAAUACUUCUUCAUCGAUGAAUCCAUUUAAAAAAGUGCUUUUAACAUCCAUUUGGAACAACCUGAAACCUUUAAAAGAUGCGUAUGCCAGAAGAAUUUGUAUAGAUCCCAAACGAGCUACUGGGGCGAAAGUUUCAUCAUAGUCGACUCCUUCCUGUUGUGAGUAGGCCUGAGCAACUAGUCCGGCUUUAUUUCUUAUGACCUUUCCAUCUUCGUUCAAUUUGUUCCUAAACACCCACUUUGUUCCGUUUACAGACACAUUAUCAGGUUUGGGUAUUAGUUUCCACAUUUGAUUCUUGCUGAACUAAUCUAACUCCUCUUGCAUGGCUUGCACAUUAUCAGGGCAGCUUGACAUUACUGGGUGCGACUGAGUCAACUGGUGAAAAUAGCAGUAAUAUGCCAGAUCCACAAAUCAAGUCGACUACAAAUACAACCGACCACAUAGAAACGAAGGAAUGAAAACCAGGGCAGCUCUCAAUCUACAAAUACAGUUCUUGCUGAACUAAUCUAACUCCUCUAACUCCUCUUCAGUAAUGUCACAAUUGUUAUUAAAGGGAAUUGUUCCAGUACCAACUAUAUUGCCCUUUGAAUCGUCCCCAAAUUUAACACUUCCUCUAUCGAUUUUUGUAACUUCUUUGAACAGGUUUUUGUCACCUGUCAUAUGACUAGAACACGCACUGUCUAGAUACCAUUUUACUUUGCGGCUUACUCUGUGGUGUUCCUGCAAGACAAGAUGAUUACUUUCUUUUAGGUACCCAAGCUUGCUUGGGUCCUGGAGGGUUAGUGUUACUAGGUUCAGAACUUUUUGGUUUCCAAACCUAUCCUGACAUAUUUGAUUUACGAAAAUGACAAAAGGAAUAUUUAUGCCCACUUUUAUUACAGUAAUGACACUUAACAUCAGACCCGCUUAUAGGUCUUUCAUAGGUAUUGGAACUAGUCGACCUGGUUCUAGCAGGUUCUUUUCCAGUUGACUUGUAAGUCGUCUGGUUUGACCUAACAGAACUGUGACUGCUAGAUUUGCGCAUGCUGUUGAGCUGCAUUUGCAAAUCCUCAAACUCUUCUUAAAGUACUUCCUUUUCGAUUUCACAUACUUCAUGUUUGAGUUUCCAGUCUUUAACCUCCCUAGUGAGUCUCUUAAGUUCAUUCAUCAUUUUUGAGACUCUUUCAAUGUUGAAUCAAGGAUAUCUUGCAAUUCAUUAUAUUUUUCACAGUCAUAAGAUCUUACCUCACUAGUUUCACCUCGUGCCAUGAAACAGUUUUCAUUCUCGUCAUCUGAAACAUCUUCAUCUGUCCAACAUCCUAAAGUUUUUUUCAUUUCAUUUUCUAGAAUUGUCAUGAAGCAGAGAUUUGUUAUUUCUUCAUGGUCAGAGUCAUCCUCAUCGCUCCAGCUUCCGAAGGUUUUGUUCUUGUUGAAGCCUCUAGAGAUCUUCCUCUUUAGUUCUAGGCAUUCAGCUUGAAUAUGCCCAAAUUUUCCACAUUCGUAGCAUUUUCCAUCAUUCUUAUCCUGUUCGUUGUAUUGCCUGGAUCGUCUUGGUGGAAAUCUUUCUUUCUUUGUGUUCCUGUAUCUUCUCAUUAGCCCAUCCAUAUUUCUAGACAUCAUAGCAAUCUCUUCUUGCAGAGCUUCAGGAUCAUCAAUUUCAUUUUCAACCAUUUCAGUAGAGGUUUUGAAUGCAACUAUUUUCAUUUUCUCCUCUUGAUUUGUCUUUUUGAGAUGCGUCCUUUCAAAGGCAAUUAGUUCUCCUCGUAGUUCAUCAUAGGACAAUUUGUUUAGGUCUUGAGAUUCCAGUGUGACUACUUUGGUCUGCCAAGUGGUUGGCAGACUUCUGAGAAUUUUUCUGACUUGAUCACCACUGGUGUAGGGCUUGCCAAACGCCUUUAAAUCGCUAAUUAUUUUGCUAAACCUGACAAACAUCUCUUCAAUGUAUUCUCCUUCUUUCAUUGAGAAAAGUUCGUAAUCAUGAACCAACAUAUUGAUAUGUGUUUCCUUUACUUUGCUGGUUCCCUCAUAGGUGACCUUAAGUUUGUCCUACAUCUCUUUGGUCGUGUCACAACUUGAUAUUUUCUCGUAUUCUUCACCACUUAUAGCGUUAUGAAGCAAAUAUCUCGCCUUGUUGUUCACUUGUACUACUUCCAGUUGCUCCUUUGAGUAUGAAUCUAUAUCUUUAGGGUCAGCAAGUGGUGGAGUGCUAGCUAGUAGGGGAUAAUUUCCCUUUUUGAUGACUCUCCAGACUUUGACAUCGUAAGCUUUAACAAAGAUUUUCAUUCUUACUUUUCAGUGAGAGAAAUGUUGUCCAUUGAAGUAUGGUGGUCUAACUUGUGAAGUUCCUUCCUGAAAAAGAGCUCCUAUGAUAACCUGAUUUGCCAUGAUCUUUUCUCACAAGCUGUUAAGCAAAAGUAAAAUGUGAGACUAGCUCUGAUACCAAUUGAAAGUACAGGGGGGGGUGAAUUGUAAAUAUUUAAACUUAAUCACUUAUUAGUUGACUAAUUUAUUGAGUAGUCGACUAGAUAUGAUAAUUCAAUAGAUAUAGUAAAAGAAAGUAAAUUGCAGAAAGUAAAUGCAGGAAUUAAAGACACCAAGAUUUUAUACUGGUUCGGAUUCAAUGUGAAUCCUAGUCCAGUCCCCUUGGGUUGCAAGUGAGUUCUCUUUUAGUAAAUAUGUUUCUCCGAGUACAGUUGUAGUGAAUUUGCACACAGUUUGUCUAGCACUCGUUUUUUAUACAAUGCCUCACCAGUGUUAUGCUCUCUUUCUUUCCCUGACUUGUUACACAACAGAUCUUAGUGAACUACAAUGUUUGUUUGCAGUAGAAUAAAGAGAGUGAUUUUGGUUCGAUCAAAGUAUGUCAGACUAGGGUUUAAGGCGGGAUAUAAAUACUUUGAUGGAUGGUAGAGGCUUGACAACCCAAGAGAUUUGAUCCUUGGAAAGAAAUUGAUUCUUUCCAAGAAUAAGAUAGUAAGCCGUUGCUUCUCCUUAAUUUCCUUCCUUCAGCAGAGAUACGAGUGAAGACUUGCUCCUUGAUUGUUUGUCUUUCCAAACUUAAUCGCGUACCAAUCUUCUCAUAACUUUCGAUCUUCCGGGAUACUGCCCCUGAAAUGUGCCUUAACUUAAGGCUUGCUUGAUUCUCUCCAACGUUGCUCUUUGCCGAUUGAUUUGCUGAUUGGAUUCCGUCCAGAUUUGCGAGUCCUUUCCUUAGUUGUCCAGAUUUACUAAUUGUAUGAUAAUCUUUGCUAAUUGAUUUCUUCCCUUAUUCAUCAUGAUUGACUCCAGCAUUCUUGUGGUAUCUUCUUGACUUCUUGUAAUUGAUUUCCUGCACAUGUAUAUUAUUUGUAUCACUAAAACUGGAUCUAGCAUGCUUGUGAACUUAUUGAAUGGUAAUUUACAAGAUAAUUAUGAGUCUUCACCUAUUGUGCCCGAAUCUGAUGCAGGACUACAUGUUGAAACGAAAUGGGCAAGCUUUGGUUUGGUUGUUAUGCACAACAAGGGUACUUUGCUUCUUACCCAUAAAUUUCAAAAUCAGUUCGUUGGGAAGACCAUAAUUGCUGAAGCGUUUACUAUUAGGAAAGCUAUAUAUAUAUAUAUAUAUAUAUAUAUAUAUAUAUAUAUUCUCUGACACGAAAGUUUAGUAUACAUGUUUACGCAAAAUGUGAAAGCUUCUUGGGAUAUGGAUGUGACUUGUGAAGAUGUUUGAAACAUGUCCUUGUACUUAGAUGGUAUUGCUUUUAUAUGAAAUUCUCCGUUUCUUUAAUAUUUGAUUUCUCUUGGGAAAUUGUGUUUCUCAAGUUGGGAUGCAAGUUCAACUGAUUUUUAGCAUCAAAAUACCACAUCAACUUUGUUAUCACCUUCACCCCUAAUCCUAAUUAUCAAGGAAUCUAGUCAUCGAAAUACAAAAGGCUAAAGUCCACCCUCUUUUAUGCAUAUUUUGUUAAUCAAUCUCUUAGAUUUACUAUUGUAGAACCCUAUGGCAUUCAUAUAUCAUUUCCUUAUGCAACAUAAGGAUGAAAAAAAGAAUAAGAAAAUUUGCGAUAUCAACACUGAAGAACAUGACAAACUUAGAUUAACAAUAGCGUUUGAUAUUUCCUUCUCCUUAGAGUGUCAAAUGUUACAAUUUUUACAAGAUGCAGAUGAAUAUAAUAAUAUAAUAUACGUAAAACCAUCCUCUCAACUAGAUAGAGCUGAAAAACAAGGUGCGUUGGGCUGGGCUUAAGAGAAGAAGCCGAAUGUGUCGAAAAUGGUAGUGUGAAGUGGGUCACUCAAGUGGGUAGCCCAGUUGUUAAGUGGGCCUUUUCCAGUAGCAGCAGCUUGGACAGCAAAGCCCAAGAAGGCAACCAUAGCAAGACGAGCAUGCUUGAUCUCAGCAAGUUGAAGUGUGGCUUUUUUCUCCGGGUCAGCAGCAAGGCCCAAUGGGUCGAAGAAUGAUCCACCAGGGUAAAGCCUCUUUUCCGGGUCAAGCUCAGCGUUUCUUUGGAAUUCAAUGUAUCCAAUAACAAGGACCUCAAUCCAGAUCAAUGUUGUAAUGGAGAAUGGGAGUGGUUGCCCCAAGUAGGAUGAUCCCUCAACCAGCUCAACCUAUGCAAGUCCAAGAAAGAGUUAAAUGAGUUAGAAAUGGCAAGUGCAACACAAUCACAAGUUAAACAAUACUCUACUGAUAAGUCUUAUUAAAUUUGAAAUGGGUUUAUCCCUGUUUGGUUAGGAUAAAAUUAUGGUAUAAUUAAUCUCGGGAUUAGUUAUCCCGAGAUUGUAGUGUUUUUUUAUCAUGUGAUAACUUGUUUCCCAACCAAACAACCCCAUAAUGUAAAUACUUUAAUCCUAUUUACCUUCUAGGUGCAGCAAGGUGACAAAUUAAAUAUUCCUUUCAGGAAAAACUCAUCCAUACUCGAUGAACUUUUAUCAUUUAAUCAUAGUUGUAAUAUAAAUUUUGACCUCAUUAAAUUACUUAACCAACUAUAUGGUUUAAACGACGAGUGCAGUUAAAUGUAUAUCGCUCCUCAACUACACUAUGCAAUUUCUAGCCUAAACUGUCCAUAAAACAUCGAAAUUUUCCACUUUAGGUUUGGUCGUGCGUAAAAUCAAGUGAUUAGAAACUUUGUUUUCAUACUUUCUUGAUCUAUUUUUUCUAUUUAUCUCAAGCUCGAUCACGAGCAUAUUGCUUUUUUUUUUUUCCACCAAAGUUUCUAAUAAAUAUUGAUGAUGUUUAAAUUUUGUUCCCAAUGGGAUUGUAGUCCCAAUCUAGCAAAAUAGUAAAUCCACAAAUUCGAAACUAGCUAGGCAACCAUGGACAAUGAGGAAGGAAUAAUCACAAGCACCAUGCACAAACCUACUGUUCAGGCAUCAAAAUGAAAUACGGAAAGUUGAAAAUAAAAUGCGGAUCCAAGAUUUGAAUUAAUAGUAUGUAUUACAACAGAGUUAUUACUCUUUAAUUAAACUUUAUGCAAAUAUAAUAUAGAUAUAAAUUUUUAAUUAAAACUUUUCAUACAUAUUUAAUUCAAAUAAGCAUUUAGUGGGUAUAUAUAUAUGCUUACAAUUACAAAUGACGUUGAGCAUGAAUUAACAUGUAAUAAGAAUUAUCUAUUCAAAGAAAGUAAUGUACCAGAACUACUACUAAAUAUUAAGUAGGGAAGUUAACUUAUAUAGCUAACAACUUAAAUUUGUUUAUUGUUUUAUACUUUUAUUACUACCAGUAAAUUUUAGCACAUGUCUUAUAUUAAUUUUUCUCACUGUCACUAUAAACUAAGUUAAUCUCAGGUUAUAAUACGUUCAUGCAAAAGCAAAAGAUGGUGUAGGUAGUACCUUUCCAGCGUCUUGCCAUGUAAUACCAGUGAGCCACUCAACAGUCAAAGCACCAAGUGUAGCCAACAUAGCCCAUCUCCCAUGGAUCAGCUCACAUUCUCUGAAUCUCUGCAGUCCAAACACCUCACUGUACGGCUGGAACGGUGUCGAUUUCACAUCAGCAAGUUCAGUCCUGGUCCCAAUUACGUCACCGGCCAAAUUCUUAGCCAAAUUCUGGUCCAAUGAAUCCAAAUCAAAUUGCAAGUACUCAGCAGGUUUCCCCAAACCAAAUGGAUCGAAUCCGUAAUCGCCGACGAGACUCCCGUCCAGAUAUUCUGGUGCCUUAGCUCCUGGGUACCAUAACGGUCUGUCUGGGAUUUGCCUUUUUGGAGCCUUUUUAGGUGCGGCUUUUUUUCCGAAUCCGAAUCGGGCUUGGACUCUACCGGCACCGGAGUGAAUUUCCGGCAGCCGUGUUCCGAUGAAUGAGGAUGUGGCAGC
RNAcentral lists this long non-coding RNA (8447 nucleotides) under Nicotiana tabacum (common tobacco). RNAcentral describes it as "long non-coding RNA (NTAB_LNC013962)". Lineage: Eukaryota; Viridiplantae; Streptophyta; Magnoliopsida; Solanales; Solanaceae. The record is from RNAcentral.